GAUAAUCGAACAAAUCUGACCACCUAUUAUGUUGCUUAUCCAACUUUGACAGUUUUAAGUACAAUUUAUCUAUACUAUUAUGUUUCAUGUUGGAUAAGCAACAUAAUAGGUGGUCAGAUUUGUAUAGGUUAUU
This is a non-coding RNA of Paramuricea clavata, 133 nucleotides long. The record is from the annotation of a GenBank genome assembly. Lineage: Eukaryota; Metazoa; Cnidaria; Anthozoa; Malacalcyonacea; Plexauridae.